UAUAUUUUAAAUAUGUUUUAAACCCUAAAAAAAAAAAAAUCUAAGAGAAAGAAAUGUAUUCAUAAUAAUAAUAUAAAUAUGCAAACAUUUUUACAGAGAAAUAUUUUCCGACAAAGUCCAUUCAUUUGUUUACGAUAUAAUUAAAAUAUAUAUAUUUUUUUUAUUCUCAAAGUGUCAAAAAUACACUUAUUAUGAAAUAGUCUACACAAAAAAUCAAUUUAUAUCAUAAAAUAUUUUCAUGCAUGUCAAUAAUUCAUAUAAUACAAUAUUUUUAAAAAAAGACCUCCCUAAUUUAUAUACAACAAAAUAGAAAAAUAAUUUGUAUAAUAAUAAAUAUAUUUUUAAAAACACCUUCCUUAAUUCAUGUAUUACAAUAUUUCAAAAAUACCUUCCUAUUUUUAUAUAACAAAAUUAAAAAAUAAUUUAUAUAGUGACAAAAAAAUAUCUAAAAAAACAAACAAAACACUUUCAGAACAUUUAUACAAAAAAAUGUUAUUCAUAAAAUAACAAUGAGAAAAUAUUUUUAAAAUAUCUUCCGAAAAUGUAUACAAUAAAAUUGUAUUCUUUACAACUGCAGCUAUUUUGUAUUUACUCUCAAAAGAUUGCACAAGUGUACCUAAUGAAGUGUCCCGUGAGUGUCACAAAGUUUUUGUACGUUUUCUCAGAAAUACGCAAAAUGACAUGAAUAUGUUUAUUUACGUGAAUAUGAGAAAUGUCUGUUGGCGUCACGCAGUCCUCGUGAAUGCAGGCGUACCAAAUGUUUUGGCCAGGGAGGGAGCUGCUAUUUGUUGGCUCAACAGCUGUGUGUGUGUGUGUGUGUGUGUGUGUGUGUGUGUGUGUGUGUGUGUGUGUGUGUGUGUGUGUGUGUGUGUGUGUGUGUGUGUGUGUGUGUGUGAUGCCAUAAAUCAAUAACAUUGCAUCUAAUAGACAAUGUCUCAUUUGUGGUGACAUCCAUCAAAAUGAGGGUGGUCCCAAAAAGGAGGCAUUUUUCACACUGACUGUGUGUCGCUUUUAAAAGUGCUCCCCCUCUGGUCAACAUAUGAAAUAACAAGUGUGGGUAAGAAAUUGAAAUGCGCCCCCUUUGGCCAAAAUUAAUUAAAAAAAUAAAUAAAUAUAUAUAUAGAGACAUACUGUAAAUCAUGAAGAUUAAAAACCAAUACAAACAAAAAAUAAAAAAUAAAUUAACUAAAAUCUCAUAUUCUUUCUGUUUCUGUACUAUUGCAAUAUAUUCUUGUAAAAUUAUCACUUUUUAAUGUAAAAUUAUGUCUUUUUAAAGUAAAAUGAUUUUUUAUGUAAAAUGGUGACAUUUGGCAUAUAAAAUUCUGACUUUUAUCACAAUAUUGACAUUUUAUUUUGUUGUUCUUGUAAAAUAGUAAACAUUUUUGAGUACAAUUAUGUCUUUUGUCAUCAUUUUGCCAAGUAAAAUUCCAAUUAUUAUUAUAAUGUUGCCAAAAUUUAAAGUUUUCUUUUGAAAUUGUGACUUUUGUCAGGUAAAAUGAUGACUCUUUUCAUAAAAUUGCCAAAAUGUUAAGUUUUUCUUAUAAAAUUGUUAGUUAUUGAGUAAAAUUUCAACUUUUAUCAUAACAUUGCACAAAUGUUCACUUUUUCUUGUCAAAUUUUGACUUGCGUUGAGUAAAAUGACGACUUUUAUUAUAAAAAAUGCCAAAAAUGGUGACCUUUUUCUUGUGAAAUCCCAACUCAUUUUUCACAACAACCUUUUUUUAUAUUUGCAUAGUAUGUAUAUAUUAUUAAUGUUGUAAAUACACUUCUUUAUAUAUCUAGAAAGGCUGGUCCUAAAGAGGGAGGCAUUUUUCUCAGGUGUCAAGAAUGUAACAAGUACAAGACUGUGUGUGUGUGUGUGUGUGUGUGUGUGUGUGUGUGUGUGUGUGUGUGUGUGUGUGUGUGUGUGUGUGUGUGAUGCCAUAAAUCAAUAACAUUGCAUCUAAUAGACAAUGUCUCAUUUGUGGUGACAUCUAUCAAAAUGAGGGUGGUCCCAAAAAGGAGGCAUUUUUCACAUUGACUGUGUGUCGCUUUUAAAAGUGCUCCCCCUCUGGUCAACAUAUGAAAUAACAAGUGUGUGUAAGAAAUUGAAAUGCGCCCCCUUUGGCCAAAAUUAAUUAAAAAAAUCAAUAAAUAUGUAUAUAGAGACAUAAUGUAAAUCAUGAAUAUUAAAAACCAAUUACAAACAAAAAACAAAAAAUAAAUUAACUAAAAUCUCAUAUUCUUUCUGUUUCUGUAGUAUUGCAAUAUAUUCUUGUAAAUUUGUUACUUUUUAAUGUAAAAUUAUGUCUUUUUAAUGUAAAAUAAUUUUUAAUGCUAAAUGGUGACAUUUGGCAUAUAAAAUUCUGACUUUUCACAAUAUUGCCAUUUCAUUUUGUUGUUCUUGUAAAAUAGUAAACAUUUUUGAGUAAAAUUAUGACUUUUGUCAUCAUUUUGCCAAGUAAAAUUCGGAUUAUUAUUAUACUUUCAACAUUUAUCAUAAUAUUGCACAAAUGUUCAGUUUUUCUCGUAAAAUUGUGACUUGCGUUGAGUAAAAUGACGACUUUUAUUAUAAAAAUGCCAAUAAUUGUGACCUUUUUCUUGUGAAAUCCCAACUCAAUUUUCACAACAAGCUUUUUUAUAUUGGCAUUGUCCAUCCAUCCAUCCAUCCAUCCAUUUUCUACCGCUUGUUCCUUUUGGGGUUUGUAUAUAUUAUUAAUGUUUUAAAUACACAUCUUUAUAUAUCUAGAACGGCUGGUCCUAAAGAGGGAGGCUUUUUUCUCAGGUCUCAAGAAGGCAACAAGUACAAGACUGUGUGUGUGUGUGUGUGUGUGUGUGUGUGUGUGUGUGUGUGUGUGUGUGUGUGUGUGUGUGUGUGUGUGUGUGUGAUGCCAUAAAUCAAUAACAUUGCAUCUAAUAGACAAUGUCUCAUUUGUGGUGACAUCUAUCAAAAUGAGGGUGGUCCCAAAAAGGAGGCAUUUUUCACAUUGACUGUGUGUCGCUUUUAAAAGUGCUCCCCCUCUGGUCAACAUAUGAAAUAACAAGUGUGUGUAAGAAAUUGAAAUGCGCCCCCUUUGGCCAAAAUUAAUUUAAAAAAAUGAAUAAACAUGUAUAUAGAGACAUACUGUAAUAACUUGAAGUAAAUCAUGAAGAUUAAAAACCAAUUACAAACAAAAAAUAAAAAAUAAAUUAACUAAAAUCUCAUAUUCUUUCUGUUUCUGUACUAUUGCAAUAUAUUCUUGUAAAAUUAUAACUUUUUAAUGUAAAAUUAUGUCUUUUUAAUGUAAAAUGAUUUUUAAUGCAAAAUGGUGACAUUUGUCAUAUAAAAUUCUGACUUUUAUCACAAUAUUGACAUUUUUUGUUGUUGUUCUUGUAAAAUAGUAAAACAUUUUGAGUAAAAUGAUGACUUUUGUCAUCAUUUUGCCAAGUAAAAUUCAUAUUAUUAUUAUAAUUUCAACAUUUAUCAUAAUAUUGCACAAAUGUUCACUUUUUCUUGUGAAACUUUGACUUGCGUUCAGUAAAAUGACGAGUUUUGUUUUAAAAUGCCAAAAAUGGUGACCUUUUUCUUGUGAAAUUCCAACUCAUUUUUCGCAACAAGCUUUUUUUUAUAUUUGCAUAGUAUGUAUAUAUUAUUAAUGUUGUAAAUACACUUCUUUAUAUAUCUAGAAAGGCUGGUCCUAAAGAGGGAGGCAUUUUUCUCAGGUCUCAAGAAGGCAACAAGUACAAGAGUGUGUGUGUGUUUGCGUGUGCGUGUCUGUGUGUGUGUGUGUGUGUGUGUGUGUGUGUGUGUGUGUGUCUGUCUGUCUGUCUGUCUGUCUGUCUGUCUGUCUGUCUGUGUGUGUGUGUGUGUGUGUGUGUGUGUGUGUGUGUGUGUGUGUGUGUGUGUGUGUGUGUGUGUGUGUGUGUGUGUGUGUGUGUGUCAAUGAGACAGAUGUGAUUUAGCUAAUGCUGUCUGAGAGCAGGGCAGGGCUACAAGAGCCAAUGACAUCAUGCGCAGAGAGAGAGAGAGAGCAUACAAUAGAACACAAGUGGUCCGGCCCAAGGCAGUGUGAGGCAGGAGGGCUCCUCUCUCUCACACACACACACACACACACACACACACACACACACACACACACACACACACACACACACACACACACGCACACAGAGGCAGCGCAGAGAGCGGCGUGACAAGAAGAGAGAGGAUGUGUGUGAGCAGGAUGAUGCGGACAUAAGAGAAACUCGCCUGGAAGAUUUCCCCCCUCCUGCGUGCACCCCCCAACCCCACCCCUCCCCCCUCCCUCCCUUCCCUCCCCCCCCUGUCCCGUCCUCCCCCGCACAGUCUCCAGGUGGCUCCUCCGGGCAUGCUCCUGAAGACCAAGUAUGACCGCUUUCGCAACGAGUCUGUGACCUCCUGCGACGACCUGAUGCAGAGCUUAGCCAUGAGCGGCAAAGUGGCGUCCACCCCGGUGGUCUCCUCCUCCUCCACCCGCGGACUCCCCCUGCCUCCUUUGGACCCCGGGUCGGCGGGGUCCGCCGCCGCGCCGGCCGACUCCCCCUGCCUGGACGGAGAGCAGGACGGCGCAACCACCUUCUGCAUGCUCAUCCCCAAGAUGCCGCAGUGGAAGUUCUCCAACUCCUUGCUGAGUCGAAGCCCCUCCAGCUCCAGCAAGUCCCCGUCCCAAGCCUCGUCGUCAUCGUCCUCCUCGUCGCACAGGCACAGCGUGGCGGCGUCCGCGGCCAGCGGCCCCGUGGCCAGCCUGGCGGCGGUGCUCACCUCCUGUGACCCCGUGUGCAUCACCCCGUGUUCUCUGCAGGCCAUCCGGGGCCAGAGAGCCGCCGCCGCCGCAAACUCCGGGGGCCACGGAUUCGGAGAAGUCACGGCGAGCCCGGCCGCCUCCAGAUCGGGGAUGAGUCGCAGGACCCGAGUGGAGGGCAUGUGGCCCGGCGGCGAGGACUUCAGCCAGAAGGGAAGCUUCAUCCACAAACCUUCUCAUGGGUGGCUGCACCCGGACAAGAAGAUCGCAGGACCGGGAGCCUCCUACGUGGUCAGGUACAUGGGCUGCAUGGAAGUGCUGAAGUCCAUGCGCUCCCUGGACUUCAACACGCGCACUCAGGUGACAAGGGAGGCCAUUAACAGACUGUGCGACGCGGUGCCCGGCGGAAAAGGCGCCUGGAGAAAAAAGGCUGUGAACAAAGCUCUUCAGUCCAUCAUGGGGAAGAGCAACCUGCGCUUCGCCGGCAUGAGCAUCGCGGUGAAUAUUUCCAUCGACGGGUUGGGCCUGCUCAUUCCCACCACCCGACAGAGGUUGGCGCACCACCCCAUGCAGUCCAUCUCAUUCGCCUCCGGCGGAGACACGGACACACCCGAUUAUGUGGCGUACGUGGCCAAAGACCCGGUCAACCAGAGAGCGUGUCACAUUCUGGAAUGUUCCGACGGUUUGGCCCAGAGCGUCAUCAGCACCAUCGGGCAGGCCUUCGAGCUGCAGUUCAAACAGUACCUGCACAGUCCGCCCAGGACUCUGACGUCGCUGGACAGGUCCUGCAGGGCGGAGGAGGUGGAGGAGGAGGACUGCUCGGAACACGACUACUACAACAGCAUCCCGGGCAAGGAGCCUCCCGUCGGCGGGGUGGUGGACUCCAGACUGCGGCCGAGUGGACUCUCCCAGCAGGGUCACGUCCUCACCCAGCCUCAGAGCAAGGCCGCGGCGCAGAUGGGCUCACCGGCAAAAAGAGAGCUAGCAUCCCUCCAUGCCAGUCAGCCGUGCUAUGAACUCCAUUGGGACGCUGACGCAACCAGUGGCUCAGAUGGUUACCUGUGUGCUGACGAGCCAUCACAGAGCAGCAAAGACUACGAGGAGCACCAAUACGUCAACACGCAGAGUCUGGACAACUUGGAGUCUCUGGCUUUGGGGCCCGAUGGACCGCGAGGUCUCAGGGGACCAGAUAGUCCCAAGAAGGACCUCUUUGACAUGAGACCCUUUGAGGACGCCCUCAAGCUGCACGAGGCUGGUUCUGGUGCCACUAUGGCCCAAUGUAUGGGCGUCCAGGUCCUGGAGGACCAGUGGCCCAGUCCUCCGCGGCGCAGGGCCCCGGUGGCCCCGAAUGAGGACCAGCUCCGACGGGAGACCUGGUACCACAGCCGCAUGAGCCGCAGGGAUGCGGAGAAAGUGCUGGUCCGGGACGGAGACUUCCUGGUGCGGGAGAGCACCACCAACCCGGGUCAGUACGUGCUGACGGGCAUGCACUGCGGCCUCCCAAAACAUCUCCUGCUCGUGGACCCCGAGGGCGUGGUGCGCACCAAAGACAUGUUGUUCCAGAGCAUCAGCCACCUCAUCUCCUACCACCUGAAGAAGCAGCUGCCCAUCGUGGCGGCCGAGAGCGAGCUCCACCUCAGACAGGUGGUCAGGAGGAAACACUAGUGCACUCUGGUGCAAAGUGUUGAUGCCAGGUGGACAAAAGGAAGGAAGGAAGGCGAGUGAGACGUCACCAAGUAGUUCUUCUUCCACACAGUGUCCAGCAUGCAGGUGUUCAUGAUCAUGCAGGUGUUCAUUAUCAUGCAGGAGUUUAAGCUACAAAAGAAGACAAGACAAAGCCAAGGUGUCAAACAACCUAAAGAUGGCGUCCAGGAAGAAUGUCCGUCAC
RNA transcript from Entelurus aequoreus (snake pipefish), 6606 nucleotides. It is a transcript of the gene named SHC (Src homology 2 domain containing) transforming protein 2, with no coding region annotated. The transcript is spliced from 14 exons. The record is from RefSeq and is a predicted model, not a curated record. Lineage: Eukaryota; Metazoa; Chordata; Actinopteri; Syngnathiformes; Syngnathidae.